AACGCACAUUGCGCCCUGUGGUAUUCCACAGGGCAUGCCUGUUUGAGCGUCAUUUCUCCUUCAAACUUCUAGUUUGGAUUUGGGCUUGGGGAAGCUUUAUACCCAGCCUGAAAUAGUGGGCGUACUACUUUUGUCUUAGUUGUACACAAUGAGUUAGGUUCUGCCAGUUCGUUGGAUAUAACUAUUAAAGAAGCUGUACAAAUACCAGCCCAUUUUAUACCCCCCCCAAAUUUGACCUCAAAUCAGGUAGGACUACCCGCUGAACUUAA
RNAcentral lists this unclassified non-coding RNA (269 nucleotides) under uncultured Saccharomycetales. Its description in RNAcentral is "sequence contains ITS2". The stretch from base 1 to 52 matches the Rfam family "5.8S ribosomal RNA", at positions 103 to 154 of the family's 154-position model. Lineage: Eukaryota; Fungi; Ascomycota; Saccharomycetes. The record is from RNAcentral.